GGGGGGGGGGGGGGGGGGGCGGGGCGGGGGCGGGGCGGGCGGAGGGGCCCUGCUUGCAGGGUACUCGAGUGGCGAACGGGUGAGUAACACGUGGGUGAUCUGCCCUGCACUUCGGGAUAAGCUUGGGAAACUGGGUCUAAUACCGGAUAGGAACCAUCUUUAGUGUGGUGGUUGGAAAGUUUUUUCGGUGUAGGAUGAGCUCGCGGCCUAUCAGCUUGUUGGUGGGGUAAUGGCCUACCAAGGCGGCGACGGGUAGCCGGCCUGAGAGGGUGUACGGCCACAUUGGGACUGAGAUACGGCCCAGACUCCUACGGGAGGCAGCAGUGGGGAAUAUUGCACAAUGGGCGCAAGCCUGAUGCAGCGACGCCGCGUGGGGGAUGAAGGCCUUCGGGUUGUAAACUCCUUUCGCUAGGGACGAAGCUUUGUUGUGACGGUACCUAGAUAAGAAGCACCGGCUAACUACGUG
This 466-nucleotide ribosomal RNA is filed under the name uncultured bacterium. Its description in RNAcentral is "partial 16S ribosomal RNA". It matches the Rfam family "Bacterial small subunit ribosomal RNA", at positions 35 to 507 of the family's 1533-position model. The record is from RNAcentral.